Molecule: unclassified non-coding RNA, 224 nt
Filed under: uncultured Alphaproteobacteria bacterium
Lineage: Bacteria; Pseudomonadati; Pseudomonadota; Alphaproteobacteria
Description: contains 16S-23S intergenic spacer region
Rfam family: Bacterial small subunit ribosomal RNA
Source: RNAcentral
AGCCCUUGACAUCCCGGUCGCGGAUACCAGAGAUGGUUUCCUUCAGUUCGGCUGGACCGGUGACAGGUGCUGCAUGGCUGUCGUCAGCUCGUGUCGUGAGAUGUUGGGUUAAGUCCCGCAACGAGCGCAACCCUCAUCCUUAGUUGCCAUCAUUAAGUUGGGCACUCUAGGGAAACUGCCGGUGACAAGCCGGAGGAAGGUGGGGAUGACGUCAGUGCUUGCCU